AAACAUCUUGUAAAAUUUGUUGGAGAAUAUUUCUUUAGUAUAGCUUUUGGUGUCAUAGCGGGACACAUAUGACUACGAGCUCACUUGUGCAAAAUCGGUGCGGCAAGUGAUAGCAUGUGGGGAAAAUGAUGAGACGUUAGAGCAUUUUUUAUGUCAUUGCCCAGCUCUUGCAGCUAACAGAUACCGGUACUUAGGUGGGGACACGAUACCAGACAUGAACCAACAUUGAGGAGUGGUAUGGAAAACAAGGAAUUUAGCGCACAACAAGCCCAAGGCGUAUUUAUCAGGAGUGAAUUUGAUAUGUCAACUCAAUUUUAAAUUCGCCGUAUAAAAAUAUAAACUUCAAUAAAUAAUUUAUAAUUGA
Molecule: long non-coding RNA, 364 nt
Organism: Stomoxys calcitrans (stable fly)
Lineage: Eukaryota; Metazoa; Arthropoda; Insecta; Diptera; Muscidae
Exons: 2
Source: RefSeq, a predicted model, not a curated record